UCUCUCGUAGCUUAGUGGCCAGAGUAUUGGUGCAUAAUGCCAAAGGUGCCGGGUUCGAUUCCCGGCGGGGGCG
Molecule: transfer RNA, 73 nt
Filed under: Agrilus planipennis (emerald ash borer)
Lineage: Eukaryota; Metazoa; Arthropoda; Insecta; Coleoptera; Buprestidae
Rfam family: tRNA
About the family: Transfer RNA (tRNA) molecules are approximately 80 nucleotides in length. Their secondary structure includes four short double-helical elements and three loops (D, anti-codon, and T loops).
Source: Rfam by way of RNAcentral